This 381-nucleotide ribosomal RNA is filed under the name uncultured bacterium. Its description in RNAcentral is "bacterial SSU rRNA". It matches the Rfam family "Bacterial small subunit ribosomal RNA", at positions 42 to 423 of the family's 1533-position model. The record is from RNAcentral.
UCAGGCCUAACACAUGCAAGUCGAACGGCAGCACGGGUGCUUGCACCUGGUGGCGAGUGGCGAACGGGUGAGUAAUAUAUCGGAACGUGCCCUAGAGUGGGGGAUAACGUAGCGAAAGUUACGCUAAUACCGCAUACGAUCUACGGAUGAAAGUGGGGGACCGCAAGGCCUCACGCUCCUGGAGCGGCCGAUAUCUGAUUAGCUAGUUGGUGGGGUAAAAGCCUACCAAGGCGACGAUCAGUAGCUGGUCUGAGAGGACGACCAGCCACACUGGGACUGAGACACGGCCCAGACUCCUACGGGAGGCAGCAGUGGGGAAUUUUGGACAAUGGGGGCAACCCUGAUCCAAAAGUGCCGCGUGUGUGAAGAAGGCCUUCGGGU